UACAGAGGGGGCAAGCGUUAUUCGGAAUUAUUGGGCGUAAAGGGCGCGUAGGCGGCUUGGCAAGUGGAAGGUGAAAUCCCUCGGCUUAACCGAGGAACUGCCCUCCAAACUGCUUUGCUUGAGGCCGGGAGAGGUGAGUGGAAUUCCCAGUGUAGCGGUGAAAUGCGUAGAUAUUGGGAGGAACACCAGUGGCGAAGGCGGCUCACUGGACCGGUUCUGACGCUGAGGCGCGAAAGCUAGGGGAGCGAACGGG
This 253-nucleotide ribosomal RNA is filed under the name uncultured bacterium. RNAcentral describes it as "partial 16S ribosomal RNA". It matches the Rfam family "Bacterial small subunit ribosomal RNA", at positions 524 to 776 of the family's 1533-position model. The record is from RNAcentral.